GAGUUUGAUCAUCGGCUCAGAACGACGCUGGCGGCAGGCCUAACACAUGCAAGUCGAACGCCGUAGCAAUACGGAGUGGCAGACGGGUGAGUAACGCGUGGGAACAUGCCCUUGGUUCGGAAUAACUCAGGGAAACUUGAGCUAAUACCGGAUAAGCCCGAGAGGGGAAAGAUUUAUCGCCGAAGGAUUGGCCCGCGUCCGAUUAGCUAGUUGGUGAGGUAAUGGCUCACCAAGGCGACGAUCGGUAGCUGGUCUGAGAGGAUGAUCAGCCACACUGGGACUGAGACACGGCCCAGACUCCUACGGGAGGCAGCAGUGGGGAAUAUUGGACAAUGGGCGCAAGCCUGAUCCAGCCAUGCCGCGUGAGUGAUGAAGGCCCUAGGGUUGUAAAGCUCUUUCGCCAGGGACGAUAAUGACGGUACCUGGAUAAGAAGCCCCGGCUAACUUCGUG
RNAcentral lists this ribosomal RNA (451 nucleotides) under uncultured bacterium. RNAcentral's name for it is "bacterial SSU rRNA". It matches the Rfam family "Bacterial small subunit ribosomal RNA", at positions 9 to 507 of the family's 1533-position model. The record is from RNAcentral.